GUAGGUGAACCCGCGGAAGGAUCAUUACAGAGUUUAUGCCCUUACGGGUAGAUCUCCCACCCUUGAAUAUUAUACCUUCUUUGCUUUGGCAGGCCGUGGAAACACCAUGGGCUCCGGCUGAUGCGUGCCUGCCAGAGGAAACAAAACUCUGUUUUUAGUGAUGUCUGAGUACUAUAUAAUAGUUAAAACUUUCAACAACGGAUCUCUUGGUUCUG
This 215-nucleotide unclassified non-coding RNA is filed under the name rhizosphere metagenome. Its description in RNAcentral is "partial ribosomal RNA internal transcribed spacer region". The record is from RNAcentral.